UUGGUUCAUUUGUUUCAAGAUCUUGUGGUCAUGUAAGGUUCUUUAGGCAACUACGCCAUGUCUUGUGUCUGGACACAGGGAGGUCUGUAUCUUUAACCCUUCUGUUUUCAUCUAGGUAGCCCUUCUUGUAUCACGUAGCCUGUAGUUUUCUUUACAGCUUCUCUUUUAAGGUGAAGUUUUAUUGCAUUAAUCUAAUCUUCAAGUAAGUAAAAUUAUGAUAAUGCCAGCGGCCACCUCUGUAUAUAUAUCUGUAAUAUACAGACUGCAAUGAUCAUAAAAAGCAAAUUCAAUUACUGCUGUAAUCUUCAUAGCUGAUAGCACCUUGGGAAGUAGGCACGCUGAAGGCUGAUGACUAAUGGGAAACAUACUCUUUUACUUAGUGUUUGCUGCUGUAGCAUUUCUGGCCAAAUUAUAGGCAUAUACAGUUGGAUGUCAUCAGCUUUCUGCAAUGCUGUCUGUUACAGGAAGGUACCAAUGUGUUGUACUACUCUUCCUUAGGGAAAGAAGCAAUCCUUCACUUACCCCUUAGAGUGACUUGAGGAAAAAAUACUGUGUUUUUGAUUCAGUGUUGCAUCGUUCCUGGUGUACAAGAUUGUAGUUGCUAUAAUUGUAAUGCAGCAGUCAAAUGUGGCCACCUCCAGAUGGACAUCUGACAUUCAUUCAUCUCUGGAAGGUGAUUAAUGUGUGAACAGAAUAAGGUCUAGAGCCAGAAUAAAAAUCUCAGUAACCAGUUAAAUGGAAAAUGCAUGAUGUGCCUGACAACAAAAACAUGCUUUUUAGAUAUUAAGCCAAGCUGUCAGGUAACUUUGCAAACAGAAGUCAUAGCAGUGCAUCAUUCAGAGAAAUAAAGAGAAGCCAUAGUAUUCAUAGUUUAAAAAGGGAAGAGUUUAAAAAAAUAAAAACCCGUGUUCCAGUGACCACCUCAGAUUCUUUUACUAUUUAUGGUAACACACUCUGUAUGCUAGGUUUAUUGUAGCUGUAGAAUUGGAUGCUUGGAUGUGUUCCUGACACAGCAGCAAGUUGAAAACACAUCUUUAAAUCUAGGAUAGGCUUCCUCCAUUAAAUAUAAAUUAUAUAUAUAGAUGGUAACACAUUUCUGAGUCUUGUGCAUAAUCUUGGGAGAGCUAAUGCCUAAAUUUUUUUAAGGUUUUAAGCACACUUUAGUCUGUAAGGGUUCAGAUUUCUAUCUUCUAUACUUAGGUACUUCAGGCUCUACAACAACGCUGAAGAAGGGUGUAGUAACCCACAGUAUCACUCCUGUUAGAACUGCCUACUCCUCAGGUUGCAAUAAAGGUGCCAGAAGAAGAGGUAUCUUAGUGAUUCAUCCACUUACGCAAAAGUAGGAAGAGCUGCAUUCUCACUGUUCCUGUGGUUUUGUGUUAAUGAUGCAGUCAUUAAGUGAGAAGUGGUUUCACCUUCACUACAGGAUUAAAAAAGGAAAAAAAAAAAAAGAAAGAAAAAGAGAAGAGACAAAGUUCAUGUCAGGGAAACAACCAUAGUGGAAAACAGUUGACAGCUAAAUAAACUGUUGAGUUCUGUUUUUCAGGUGCACCAUCUUUUGGUAAAAUGCCAUAGUGUAUUGGUUACUGUUGAAUAUAAAUUAAAUGUUUUCAGCCUUAACUUUAUAGGCAGAUUUAAAUUAUCUGUUCUUCUCAAUUACUGUUAAAACCACGUAGAGCUUAACAUGUAAUUGAUGCAUUAAUGUAACUUUUAACAUAUCUGAAAUGGGAAUAUAUAUGUAUAUUGACUUACUGAGGGAUUGCUAGUGAUGUGUUACUUAGGCUUCUUAAUGUUAACAGAGAGCAGCAGUUCUUACACAAGGAGCUUGUAUUGAACACCUAAACAAAUUAUAAGAAAACUUGUUUUUAAAGCCAUCUGGUAAUGAGCAAGACAAUUCUGUAUUGGGUGAGCAUUCUAAUGAAAUGCAGCUAGAAUCAGUCAGAAAAUUUCCGGAUCCUAUUUUUAAUUAUUUUUCCCCACUCAAAAUACUGUAUAUAUUCCAAGUCUUUAUUUAAUAAAAAUCCUUUUUAAUGUGUUCAAUGGUGAAGAGAAGUGUCUUGGACUUACAAAGCUGUGAGGAAAGAAAGGGACCAAGCAGUAAGAAUCUUUAAAGCUUCUGUAGAUGAGGCAGAAUUGCUCAACAGUGUUCAUCCAAAGCAAAGGACAGAGAGCAGCGCUACAAUGGUUUGUUGAUUUCCCACACAAAGACCAUUGUGCUUCCAUGCUAUAGUACGCCUAGAAACUUGUUCUCUGCUUUAUCUGAUUAUGGAUAUUUGUGCCUUUUCUCUAAAAGGAAACAGCAGUGUUCAAUCUCUUAAUGUUAUUAUGGUCCUUUUUUGCUUUAGGAAGCCUAAACCUCGUUUUGGUUUUGGAUGACUUGUAACUAUAGAAUGGUUUUGUUUGGAAGGGACCUUAAAGAUAGUCUAGUUCCAACCCCCCUACCAUGGGCAGGGACACCUCCCACUAGACCAGGUUGCCCCAUCAAGCCCCAUCCAACCUGGCCUUGAACACUUCCAGGGAGGGGGCAGCCACAACUUCCUGGGCAGCCUGUUCCAGUCUCUUGUCACCAUCAUAGUGAAGAAUUUCUUCCUAAUGUCUAACUUAAAUCUACCCUUAUUCAGUUUAAAGCCAUUACCCCUCAUCCUAUCAUUACACACACUAGUAGAAAGACCCUCCCGAGGUUUCCAAUAGGCCCUGUCAGGUACUGGAGGGCCACAGUAAGGUCUCCCUGGAGCCUUCUGCAGGCUGAACAACCCAAACUCUUUCAGCCUGUCUUCAUAGGAGAGGUGCUCCAGCCCUCAGAUCACCUUCAUGGCCCUCCUCUGGACACACUCCAAUAGUGUUCCAACUUCCUGUCUCCCACUUGUUUCUCCUAACCAGAGUGUUUCCUGGAAUAUAGUAGCCAGGUAAGUUAUUAUGAUAUGCCUUAGCAGCCAUUUCACAGUUUUCUUACUCUUUGGGAAGUAUGAAAUGCUCUGUAGUAAAUACUUCCAUUUUCUUGGAUGAAAGCCAUUGUAAAGGUACAGAGAAUUCUUGCUUUAAGCACUUGGAUAGAUUCAGGUUUUCCUUGUAGAAACAGAGAGCAUCCCAAAUUUCAUGGCAUCUUGGUUAGCAUUUGUAAGCUGGUGCAUUUUAAGUCCCUAUUUGACUGUCACUGGAGCUGAAAGGACAAGUCAUACCAAUCAGUGGAACACGACUCUUGGGCUCAAAGCUAAAAGGUGAACAUUUUUGUGUUGAUAGCUAAUCUAGGAGAUAUGACUCAUUUUAGCUACAGUCACUUCAUACCAGAUCAUAUAAUCUUACUUAGCUAAUAUUGUAUCUGAUUAUUAUUUAAAAUUAGUUCAUUGCCUGAUUACAGUAAUUCAUUGUUGCAAGUUCAUAAGCACAAUAAAGGGUGGGAUUCACUUGCCUUACAGUAUUCCAUUUGAAUCUCCAGGUCAUUUUUAUUUCAUAAUUCCUGUAUCACUUCUGUCAGCUCUGUGCAGAUGUCUCUGACAUCUUUUGAACAUCUAGAGUGGCCACUGCAAGCAGUUGAAUGGUCAGCUGAAUCUCACUGCAAGCAUGCAGAAAUAUUUUUCUCUUAACCACUUUUGCGCUCAGGGUAGUCUGAGCAAGAGAUUGGGCUCAGGAUUUUUUACAAUAACCAACUUGCUGUGUUGAAGGUAAUGUGGUCAUUCCCUAGCUUUGGCUUUCAGAAAUGUUUUAGUGUUUUACAUUCAUAAAGUCACUCUGUUGGGUGGACCACAGGAUAGAGGGACAAAGGAGUAGGCUGAAAAGUUCACUAUGGUAUAGAGGCAAAAUGUAAGCAAAAUGGAGUAAUCACCCAGAUUGAGAUACAGUGGACUGAUAAAAAAAAAUCAGCUAAAUGUAUAGUGUCUAGAAAUUGCACUUUACCCUACUGUCUCUGACAUUCUCUUAAGUUUUAAUUUUUCUUCUUCACUGGAAAUGUUUUGUGUUUGGUCUCUCAUUGUGACUGAAAUACAGGGAAGGAAACACAUUUCCUGUAUAUUCGAUUGACUUUUGUACAGAUCCAGUUCACAUGAGUCUAGAUAUUCCUGUUCAUUUAGAACAUGAAAAGUGUCUGUGUACUUGUUACAACUUUUCUUACAACUUGGUGAAAGCAGCCUUAAAAACUUCUGUAAUAGGCAGCUUCAUAUAAUGGAAUUUAUUGUACCUUAAUAAAUAAAGAUGAUCACUGAAAUACUGA
This is a long non-coding RNA of Apus apus (common swift), 4207 nucleotides long. RefSeq lists it as uncharacterized. The record is from RefSeq and is a predicted model, not a curated record. Lineage: Eukaryota; Metazoa; Chordata; Aves; Apodiformes; Apodidae. The transcript is spliced from 2 exons.